GAUGAAGAACGUAGUGAAAUGCGAUACGUAAUGUGAAUUGCAGAAUUCAGUGAAUCAUCGAAUCUUUGAACGCACAUUGCGCCCGCCAGUAUUCUGGCGGGCAUGCCUGUUCGAGCGUCAUUACAACCCUCAGGCCCCCGGGCCUGGCGUUGGGGAUCGGCGGAGCCCCCCGUGGGCACACGCCGUCCCCCAAAUGCAGUGGCGGUCCCGCCGCAGCUUCCAUCGCGUAGUAGCUAACACCUCGCGACUGGAGAGCGGCGCGGCCACGCCGUAAAACACCCAACUCUUCUGAAGUUGACCUCGAAUCAGGUAGGAAUACCCGCUGAACUUAAGCAUAUCAAUAAGCGGAGGA
RNAcentral lists this unclassified non-coding RNA (352 nucleotides) under soil metagenome. RNAcentral describes it as "partial contains 5.8S ribosomal RNA, internal transcribed spacer 2, and large subunit ribosomal RNA". The stretch from base 1 to 120 matches the Rfam family "5.8S ribosomal RNA", at positions 35 to 154 of the family's 154-position model. The record is from RNAcentral.